RNAcentral lists this ribosomal RNA (483 nucleotides) under uncultured bacterium. RNAcentral describes it as "partial 16S ribosomal RNA". It matches the Rfam family "Bacterial small subunit ribosomal RNA", at positions 29 to 523 of the family's 1533-position model. The record is from RNAcentral.
AGUGAACGCUGGCGGCGUGCUUAACGCAUGCAAGUCGAACGAGAACGGAUUAUAGCUUGCUAUAAUUGUCAGCUAAGUGGCGCACGGGUGAGUAAUGUAUAGAUAACCUGCCCUCUAGAAAGGAAUAACAGUUGGAAACGACUGCUAAUGCCAUAUGCCUUUAAUACAUAAGUAUGCAAGGGAAACGCUUUAGUGCUAGAGGAUGGGUCUGUAUGGUAUCAGCUUGUUGGUGAGGUAAUGGCUCACCAAGGCUAUGACGCCUAACUGGUUUGAGAGGAUGAUCAGUCACACUGGAACUGAGACACGGUCCAGACUCCUACGGGAGGCAGCAGUGGGGAAUAUUGCACAAUGGACGAAAGUCUGAUGCAGCAACGCCGCGUGGAGGAUGACACAUUUCGGUGCGUAAACUCCUUUUAUAUAGGAAGAUAAUGACGGUACUAUAUGAAUAAGCACCGGCUAACUCCGUGCCAGCAGCCGCCGUAA